RNAcentral lists this ribosomal RNA (836 nucleotides) under Clostridium perfringens. RNAcentral's name for it is "partial 23S ribosomal RNA". It matches the Rfam family "Bacterial large subunit ribosomal RNA", at positions 424 to 1262 of the family's 2925-position model. Lineage: Bacteria; Bacillati; Bacillota; Clostridia; Eubacteriales; Clostridiaceae. The record is from RNAcentral.
ACGUGAAACCUUGUGGGAAGCAGGGAGGACCACCUCCCAAGGCUAAAUACUACCUGAUGACCGAUAGUGAAGCAGUACCGUGAGGGAAAGGUGAAAAGAACCCCGGGAGGGGAGUGAAAUAGAACCUGAAACCGUGUGCCUACAACCGCUCAGAGCCCCUUAUGAGGGUGAUGAGGUGCUUUUUGUAGAACGAGCCAACGAGUUACGGUAUGUAGCAAGGUUAAGUACUUAAGGUACGGAGCCGAAGGGAAACCGAGUCUGAAUAGGGCGACUAGUUGCAUGCCGUAGACCCGAAACCGGGUGACCUAUCCAUGGCCAGGUUGAAGCGAGGGUAAAACCUCGUGGAGGACCGAACCACGUUGCUGUUGAAAAAGCAUGGGAUGAGCUGUGGAUAGCGGAGAAAUUCCAAUCGAACCCGGAGAUAGCUGGUUCUCUCCGAAAUAGCUUUAGGGCUAGCGUCGAGUAUGAGUAGUGGAGGUAGAGCACUGAAUGGGCUAGGGGGCAUAGCGCUUACCGAACCUUAUCAAACUCCGAAUGCCACAUACUUUGAGCUCGGCAGUCAGACUACGAAUGAUAAGAUCCGUGGUCAAAAGGGAAACAGCCCAGAUCGUCAGCUAAGGUCCCAAAGUGUAAGUUAAGUGGGAAAGGAUGUGAGAUUUCUAAGACAACUAGGAUGUUGGCUUAGAAGCAGCCAUUCAUUAAAAGAGUGCGUAAUAGCUCACUAGUCGAGAGAUCUUGCGCCGAAAAUGUAACGGGGCUAAACUUACCACCGAAGCUACGGGCUUGAACUUAGUUCAAGCGGUAGGAGAGCGUCGUAACCGGGCUGAAGUCGUACC